Molecule: ribosomal RNA, 484 nt
Filed under: uncultured bacterium
Lineage: Bacteria
Description: partial 16S ribosomal RNA
Rfam family: Bacterial small subunit ribosomal RNA
Source: RNAcentral
AUUGAACGCUGGCGGCAUGCUUUACACAUGCAAGUCGAACGGCAGCGCGGGCUUCGGCCUGGCGGCGAGUGGCGAACGGGUGGGUAAUACAUCGGAACGUGCCCAGUAGUGGGGGAUAGCUCGGCGAAAGCCGGAUUAAUACCGCAUACGACCUGAGGGUGAAAGCGGGGGAUCUUCGGACCUCGCGCUAUUGGAGCGGCCGAUGGCAGAUUAGCUAGUUGGUGGGGUAAAGGCCUACCAAGGCGACGAUCUGUAGCUGGUCUGAGAGGACGACCAGCCACACUGGGACUGAGACACGGCCCAGACUCCUACGGGAGGCAGCAGUGGGGAAUUUUGGACAAUGGGCGAAAGCCUGAUCCAGCAAUGUCGCGUGUGUGAUGAAGGCCUUCGGGUUGUAAAGCACUUUUGGCGGGAACGAAAAGGACUGUGCCAAUACCACGGUUCGAUGACGGUACCCGCAGAAUAAGCACCGGCUAACUACGUG